GAUUGAUUAGUUUAAGAUAAAACUAAUGUUUUGAAAACAUUUAAUAGAAUAAAAAAUUUCUAUCAAUCG
RNAcentral lists this transfer RNA (69 nucleotides) under Upogebia affinis. Its description in RNAcentral is "tRNA-Ser". Lineage: Eukaryota; Metazoa; Arthropoda; Malacostraca; Decapoda; Upogebiidae. The record is from RNAcentral.